AGUGAACGCUGGCGGUAGGCCUAACACAUGCAAGUCGAACGGCAGCACAGUAAGAGCUUGCUCUUACGGGUGGCGAGUGGCGGACGGGUGAGGAAUACAUCGGAAUCUACUUUUUCGUGGGGGAUAACGUAGGGAAACUUACGCUAAUACCGCAUACGACCUACGGGUGAAAGCAGGGGAUCUUCGGACCUUGCGCGAUUGAAUGAGCCGAUGUCGGAUUAGCUAGUUGGCGGGGUAAAGGCCCACCAAGGCGACGAUCCGUAGCUGGUCUGAGAGGAUGAUCAGCCAAACUGGAACUGAGACACGGACCAGACUCCUACGGGAGGCAGAAGUGGGGAAUAUUGGACGAUGGGCGCAAGCCUGGUCCAGCCAUACCGCGUGGGUGAAGAAGGCGUUCGGGUUGUAAAGCCCUUUUGUUGGGAAAGAAAAGCAGCAGGUUAAUACCCCGCUGUUCUGACGGUACCCAAAGAAUAAGCACCGGCUAACUUCGUG
This 492-nucleotide ribosomal RNA is filed under the name uncultured bacterium. RNAcentral's name for it is "partial 16S ribosomal RNA". It matches the Rfam family "Bacterial small subunit ribosomal RNA", at positions 29 to 507 of the family's 1533-position model. The record is from RNAcentral.